RNAcentral lists this unclassified non-coding RNA (240 nucleotides) under Alternaria sp. RNAcentral's name for it is "partial internal transcribed spacer region". The stretch from base 1 to 46 matches the Rfam family "Eukaryotic small subunit ribosomal RNA", at positions 1786 to 1831 of the family's 1831-position model. RNAcentral also lists the same sequence under 1 other name. The record is from RNAcentral. Lineage: Eukaryota; Fungi; Ascomycota; Dothideomycetes; Pleosporales; Pleosporaceae.
AAGUCGUAACAAGGUCUCCGUAGGUGAACCUGCGGAGGGAUCAUUACACAAAUAUGAAAGCGGGCUGGAACCUCUCGGGGUUACAGCCUUGCUGAAUUAUUCACCCUUGUCUUUUGCGUACUUCUUGUUUCCUUGGUGGGUUCGCCCACCACUAGGACAAACAUAAACCUUUUGUAAUUGCAAUCAGCGUCAGUAACAAAUUAAUAAUUACAACUUUCAACAACGGAUCUCUUGGUUCUG